UACAGAGGGUGCAAGCGUUGCUCGGAUUUACUGGGCGUAAAGCGUGCGCAGACGGCGAGGCAGGUCGGGUGUGAAAGCCCCGGGCUCAACCCGGGAAUUGCAUUCGAAACCAUCUUGCUCGAGUGUGGAAGAGGGAAGCGGAAUUCCCGGUGUAGAGGUGAAAUUCGUAGAUAUCGGGAGGAACACCAGCGGCGAAGGCGGCUUCCUGGUCCAUUACUGACGUUCAGGCACGAAAGCGUGGGUAGCAAACAGG
This 253-nucleotide ribosomal RNA is filed under the name uncultured bacterium. RNAcentral's name for it is "partial 16S ribosomal RNA". It matches the Rfam family "Bacterial small subunit ribosomal RNA", at positions 524 to 776 of the family's 1533-position model. The record is from RNAcentral.